AGUGAACGCUGGCGGUAGGCCUAACACAUGCAAGUCGAACGGCAGCACAGUAAGAGCUUGCUCUUACGGGUGGCGAGUGGCGGACGGGUGAGGAAUACAUCGGAAUCUACUUUUUCGUGGGGGAUAACGUAGGGAAACUUACGCUAAUACCGCAUACGACCUACGGGUGAAAGCAGGGGAUCUUCUGACCUUGCGCGAUUGAAUGAGCCGAUGUCGGAUUAGCUAGUUGGCGGGGUAAAGGCCCACCAAGGCAACGAUCCGAAGCUGGUCUGAGAGGAUGAUCAGCCAGACUGGAACUGAGGCAGGGCCGCGACUCCUACGGGAGGCAGCAGUGGGGAAUAUUAGACAAUGGGGGCAAGCCUGAUCCAGCCCUACCGCGUGGGUGAAGAAGGCCUUCGGGUUGUAAAGCCCUUUUGUUGGGAAAGAAAAGCAGCAGGUUAAUACCCCGCUGUUCUGACGGUACCCAAAGAAUAAGCACCGGCUAACUUCGUG
RNAcentral lists this ribosomal RNA (492 nucleotides) under uncultured bacterium. RNAcentral's name for it is "partial 16S ribosomal RNA". It matches the Rfam family "Bacterial small subunit ribosomal RNA", at positions 29 to 507 of the family's 1533-position model. The record is from RNAcentral.